GUCAAACCCCGUAAGGCUCCGCUCCCGGUCCGCCAUACCUGUCAAGGCCGGGCUGCCUGUCAAACACGGCGCGGCAAAGGCCGCGGUAGUUACUCUGUCGCCUGGCUGCGGCGCAGUCUGUGCCCUGAAGUGAAGUGAAGUAAAAGCCGCUCAGUCGUGUCCGACUUUUUGCGACCCCAUGCACUAUACAGUCCAUGGUAUUCUCCAGGCCAGAAUACUGGAGUGGGUAGCCUUUCUCUCAGGGGAUCUUCCCAAUCCAGGGAUCGAACCCAGGUCUCCCCGCAUUGCGGGCGGAUUCUUUACCAGCUGAGCCGCAAGGAGAACCCGUCUGUGCCCUAAGGGGACUUAAGCAGCUCUCUGUCGAAGUGUGGAGAUUAGGGGAAUAUGAAGGUUAAGACUAUCAUCUGCAAGCCUCAGCCCUGAGUCAAUCUCAUCGCGUUGGGGCGUGUGUCCCUGGGGGACGGGCCGGGCCCCGGCAGUGGGCGCAGAGAAUAGCGGUGCGUAAGGAGCGUGUGUCCAAGACGAGCGGUGUGGCGGGGGCGUGGCCCCGGCAGUCCCCGUCCCCCCAGGAUCUGCAGAAAUGGCUUGGCCUUGCUGGAAACGCCUUCACUUGCCUUUCCCCUCCCACUAAAAAUGGCCUGGAGUCUGAAAGUCAUGGAUCGAGGUGCCAGCAGACUUCAUUUCAAGGUGUGGGCACGCUGCCUUUUCUCUGAAGAAAGGCUGCUCAUUGGACGGAUGUUCUUGAAACGAUUAAGCAGAACAAAGGGAAGCCAGUGCCUUGUGUGCAAGACACACAGAAAGGUGCAGAGAGCCCAGGGCAAGUCUUCCUUUGGGUUUGGGCAGAGAAGAAGCCAUGCUGGGAAGGGAAGAGGAAGCUGGCAAGGAGGGCACCACCCACAUGGGCCCAGCUGAGGCCUGGUGAGGGGGAGGCUGCUUCUGGAACACCAGCCAGGAUUCACCUUGCCAUUCGAGCCUCCCUCCUGGUGUAGAAGCAACAGCUGGCGCUGGGAUGAAGGACUCGGCCUCUCUCCUGCACAGGUUCAGAGGACAGCUGUGAACUGAGCUGCCAGGAAGUCUCUGUUUCAGGACUAGGGUGGCUGUGGCUACUGGGCCUAAAGGAAAGCACAGCCUCGGAUCUGUUCUUCCCACUCUCACUUGAAUUACAUGUUAAAAGCACAUGGUCGCUUUGCCGAGUAGCUGGAAUCAGCCGUGGAAACUUCCUGAGCCCUUUGUGUUCCAAGGUUCCAGGAGAGGAGUAAGUUCUCCUUCUGUCAUCUGAAAAACUGCACUUGAGCAGUGGAUUCAAGGCCCCUCAGGUCUGUAAACGUCCUAAUCCCCAGGACCUGUGAAGAGGUUACCUUCCACGGUGAAGAAACUGCUCAGGCAAAAUUUCCAGGUCACCGAUAUUUGCCCUGCAGGAAAGCCUGGUGUGAGGGGAGCGGAUGGUUUUAACACUUGAGAUACAGAAGAACAUCCCUGAAAACAACGUGCUCCACAACAAGGGAAGCCACCAAAAUGAGAAGGCUGCGUGUGGCAAUGAAAACCCGGCACAACUGAUAAU
Molecule: long non-coding RNA, 1561 nt
Organism: Bos taurus (domestic cattle)
Lineage: Eukaryota; Metazoa; Chordata; Mammalia; Artiodactyla; Bovidae
Source: Ensembl